Molecule: ribosomal RNA, 497 nt
Filed under: uncultured bacterium
Lineage: Bacteria
Description: partial 16S ribosomal RNA
Rfam family: Bacterial small subunit ribosomal RNA
Source: RNAcentral
GAUGAACGCUGGCGGCGUGCCUAAUACAUGCAAGUCGAGCGAACAGACGAGGAGCUUGCUCCUCUGACGUUAGCGGCGGACGGGUGAGUAACACGUGGAUAACCUACCUAUAAGACUGGGAUAACUUCGGGAAACCGGAGCUAAUACCGGAUAAUAUAUUGAACCGCAUGGUUCAAUAGUGAAAGACGGUUUUGCUGUCACUUAUAGAUGGAUCCCGGCGGCAUUAGCUAGUUGGUAAGGUAACGGCUUACCAAGGCUACGAUGCGUAGGCGACCGGCGAGGGGGAUCGGCCACACUGGAACUGGGACACGGUCCAGACUCCUACGGGAGGCAGCAGUAGCGAAUCUGCCGCAAUGGGCGAAAGCCUGACGGAGCAACGCCGCGUGAGUGAUGAAGGUCUUCGGAUCGUAAAACUCUGUUAUUAGGGAAGAACAAAUGUGUAAGUAACUAUGCACGUCUUGACGGUACCUAAUCAGAAAGCCACGGCUAACUACGUG